Molecule: unclassified non-coding RNA, 263 nt
Filed under: plant metagenome
Description: partial contains small subunit ribosomal RNA, internal transcribed spacer 1, and 5.8S ribosomal RNA
Source: RNAcentral
UUUCCGUAGGUGAACCUGCGGAAGGAUCAUUAUUGUAUAACCGAGGUGCGAGGGCUGUCGCUGACCCGAAAGGUCGUGCACGCCCGAGUGCCCUCACACACAUCCAUCUCACCCCUAUGUGCACCACCGCGUGAGUCCCCCUUUGGCUUGUUCGGAGGGGGGCUUACGUUUUCACACAAACUUUGUAUGCAGUGUAGAAUGUAUUUUUUGUUUUUGCGAUCACGCAAUCAAUACAACUUUCAACAACGGAUCUCUUGGCUCUC